RNAcentral lists this ribosomal RNA (468 nucleotides) under uncultured bacterium. Its description in RNAcentral is "partial 16S ribosomal RNA". It matches the Rfam family "Bacterial small subunit ribosomal RNA", at positions 28 to 507 of the family's 1533-position model. The record is from RNAcentral.
GACGAACGCUGGCGGCGUGCUUAACACAUGCAAGUCGAACGGAAAGGCCCUGCUUUUGUGGGGUGCUCGAGUGGCGAACGGGUGAGUAACACGUGAGUAACCUGCCCUUGACUUUGGGAUAACUUCAGGAAACUGGGGCUAAUACCGGAUAGGAGCUCCUGCUGCAUGGUGGGGGUUGGAAAGUUUCGGCGGUUGGGGAUGGACUCGCGGCUUAUCAGCUUGUUGGUGGGGUAGUGGCUUACCAAGGCUUUGACGGGUAGCCGGCCUGAGAGGGUGACCGGCCACAUUGGGACUGAGAUACGGCCCAGACUCGUACGGGAGGCAGCAGUGGGGAAUAUUGCACAAUGGGCCGAAGCCUGAUGCAGCAACGCCGCGUGCGGGAUGACGGCCUUCGGGUUGUAAACCGCUUUCGCCUGUGACGAAGCGUGAGUGACGGUAAUGGGUAAAGAAGCACCGGCUAACUACGUG